GAGGUGAAUCGAACAAAUGAAUAAUUAUUUAUAUCUUUUUCAAUUGCAAUAGCAAUAUUCAUUCUAUGAUAUUACUAAUAUAAACCUUGUGUAUAUUGAAGGAAACUUGUAUUUCAUUAUAAUCUAAACGAUUCCAUAAUUUAUUUGGAGAUAGAGUAAAACUGCGUGCUCUUAACCAAUUGUCGGAACUGUAACGACUACACAAGAUUCGUUAAUAAAAACCCAGACUCUGUAACACAAUAGCAUGCACCUUUUUAUUCUCUUUCUCUAUGAGAGCUGCAGCGGCUUCUCCAUUCGCUCCAAGCAGCUCCGACCACGAGCUCUUACCUGCAAAUUUUCAAUUUUCUUGAAGUUUCAUGCCAUACACAAAAUUGAAGUUAAAAACAGAAACUCAAUAAAACUAAUAAAUUACCAGGUCGACAAAUAUAAACCAUUGUCUUUGCUCUAUUGGUAUCUUCCUCUCUCCAUUUCCAAUAAGUUUGAUUAAAACUACAGAAAUGACGGAUUUAUACAGAAGCUUUUAAAUUUUUAGCAGCAGAGUUUUUGCCCAUUUAUAAUAGGAAACGGAUAAAACAAAAAAAGAAAUGUUUUAAAACGUGCCCUGCUAAUUAUAUUAGUUGCUUUGUAAAAUCUAUAUAUAAAUGUGGGAAUGUGGGAAUGGCGGAGGGAGAAUGCUUGUCUCCAGGUCAUAAAUAAAG
Molecule: long non-coding RNA, 698 nt
Filed under: Jatropha curcas
Lineage: Eukaryota; Viridiplantae; Streptophyta; Magnoliopsida; Malpighiales; Euphorbiaceae
Description: long non-coding RNA (JCUR_LNC001461)
Source: RNAcentral